AGCAGGUGGCACAGUGGUUAAAGUGUUUCUCUGCAGAAAAGGACCCGGGUUUGAAUCCCUGGUCCUUCUG
Molecule: transfer RNA, 70 nt
Filed under: Scleropages formosus (Asian bonytongue)
Lineage: Eukaryota; Metazoa; Chordata; Actinopteri; Osteoglossiformes; Osteoglossidae
Description: tRNA-Ala
Source: RNAcentral